UUCCAAAUGUUGAGUUCAGUUCAGGGCCUCUUCCCUGCUCUGUUAAUUAAACUUUGGGACGUUGAAAGGGGCUAGGAGAUAGAAUUGGAUAGAGAAUACCAUUGUAUUCAUUUAUUUCCCAGCCUACAAUG
Small nucleolar RNA from Ochotona curzoniae (black-lipped pika), 131 nucleotides. Lineage: Eukaryota; Metazoa; Chordata; Mammalia; Lagomorpha; Ochotonidae. The record is from RefSeq and is a predicted model, not a curated record.